RNAcentral lists this ribosomal RNA (276 nucleotides) under uncultured bacterium. RNAcentral describes it as "partial 16S ribosomal RNA". It matches the Rfam family "Bacterial small subunit ribosomal RNA", at positions 29 to 334 of the family's 1533-position model. The record is from RNAcentral.
AACGAACGCUGGCGGCAGGCUUAACACAUGCAAGUCGAGCGCCUCGCAAGAGGAGCGGCAGACGGGUGAGUAACGCGUGGGAAUCUACCCAUCUCUACGGAACAACAGUUGGAAACGACUGCUAAUACCGUAUACGCCCUUCGGGGGAAAGAUUUAUCGGAGAUGGAUGAGCCCGCGUUGGAUUAGCUAGUUGGUGGGGUAAAGGCCUACCAAGGCGACGAUCCAUAGCUGGUCUGAGAGGAUGAUCAGCCACACUGGGACUGAGACACGGCCCAG